This 87-nucleotide transfer RNA is filed under the name Amylibacter sp. RNAcentral describes it as "tRNA-Leu". It matches the Rfam family "tRNA". Rfam says of the family: Transfer RNA (tRNA) molecules are approximately 80 nucleotides in length. Their secondary structure includes four short double-helical elements and three loops (D, anti-codon, and T loops). RNAcentral also lists the same sequence under 2 other names. Lineage: Bacteria; Pseudomonadati; Pseudomonadota; Alphaproteobacteria; Rhodobacterales; Paracoccaceae. The record is from RNAcentral.
GCGAGCGUGGUGGAAUCGGUAGACACGCCAGACUUAAAAUCUGUUGUCCUUAUGGACGUGGGGGUUCAAGUCCCCCCGCUCGCACCA